UUGCCAUAUCAAUAAGCGGAGGAAAAGAAACCAACAGGGAUUGCCUUAGUAACGGCGAGUGAAGCGGCAAAAGCUCAAAUUUGAAAUCUGGCACCUUCGGUGUCCGAGUUGUAAUUUGAAGAAGGUAACUUNGGAGUUGGCUCUUGUCUAUGUUCCUUGGAACAGGACGUCACAGAGGGUGAGAAUCCCGUGCGAUGAGAUGCCCAAUUCUA
RNAcentral lists this ribosomal RNA (212 nucleotides) under uncultured Saccharomycetaceae. RNAcentral's name for it is "partial 26S ribosomal RNA". It matches the Rfam family "Eukaryotic large subunit ribosomal RNA", at positions 35 to 244 of the family's 3401-position model. The record is from RNAcentral. Lineage: Eukaryota; Fungi; Ascomycota; Saccharomycetes; Saccharomycetales; Saccharomycetaceae.